CGGGACGGGUGAGUAACGCGUGGGCAACCUGCCCUGCACUGGGGGACAACAGCCGGAAACGGCUGCUAAUACCGCAUAUGCCCGCAGCCCCGCAUGGGGCGGCGGGGGAAGCUCCGGCGGUGCAGGAUGGGCCCGCGUCUGAUUAGCUUGUUGGCGGGGCAACGGCCCACCAAGGCGACGAUCAGUAGCCGGCCUGAGAGGGUGGGCGGCCACAUUGGGACUGAGACACGGCCCAGACUCCUACGGGAGGCAGCAG
RNAcentral lists this ribosomal RNA (256 nucleotides) under uncultured bacterium. RNAcentral describes it as "partial 16S ribosomal RNA". It matches the Rfam family "Bacterial small subunit ribosomal RNA", at positions 98 to 354 of the family's 1533-position model. The record is from RNAcentral.